CAGUAGCCACGGGAAUACGGAGGGGGCUAGCGUUGUUCGGAAUUACUGGGCGUAAAGCGCACGUAGGCGGCUUGGUAAGUUAGAGGUGAAAGCCCAGGGCUCAACCCUGGAAUUGCCUUUAAGACUGCCGAGCUAGUAGGUGAGAGAGGUAAGUGGAAUUCCGAGUGUAGAGGUGAAAUUCGUAGAUAUUCGGAAGAACACCAGUGGCGAAGGCGGCUUACUGGCUCAUUCUAGACGCUGAGGUGCGAAAGCGUGGGGAGCAAACAGGAUUAGAUACCCGCGUAGUCCCUGUCUCUUAUAC
Molecule: ribosomal RNA, 301 nt
Filed under: uncultured bacterium
Lineage: Bacteria
Description: partial 16S ribosomal RNA
Rfam family: Bacterial small subunit ribosomal RNA
Source: RNAcentral